AUGUGUCAGGCCAUUUUCAAAUUCCACCUAUUGUACAGCCAACUCUAUACGUCUUUGAUAAUUUCGAACAACAAUCUGCUCCUAUGGUUUGGCCUCCUAAUACUGUUCCACAACUGGCUUGUAAUUCAAACAAGCCUCCUGUACCUCCACAUCAUUUUUAAUCAUGUCACUGGACAGUUUAUUCCUGCACCACCUGUCACUGUUGGAGUUCAACAGCAAACACCUAUGUUCAGUAAACCUGGCAUAGAAAUUGAUAGAAAUGAGAGAGUACACCAGCUAGGGGGUACUUCUCAUUAUGCUGAUGCUGUUUUAAAAGGACCCAGGUUGGAAAUACCUUUAUUUGCUGGCGAUGAUCCCAUUGGAUGGUUGCAGCAAUGUGAGAAAUUCAGUGACAUGUCUGGUACUCCAUAUGAACAAUGGGUUAACAUUGCAACUGGACUUUUUUAUUGCAGAGCAAAUGUGUGGUUAAAGAAUAUAUAUGUCCCAUGGCAAAUGAUCAGUUGGCAAGAUUUCUGUAAUAUGAUUGCAGAUAGAUUUACUCAAGCAAAUGCAUAUGAAGCUGUGGAGUUAUUGAAGAUUAUACAUCAGCAAACAACUGUACUCACUUAUAUUGAUCAAUUUGAGGAAUGCGUCCGGUUGGCCAGAAGAGAUCAUCCCUGUUUACAGGAGCCUUUUCUUAUGAGUUGUUUCAUAGGAGGACUACGAGCAGAUAUAACGUAUGAUGUCAGUGGACAAAGACCUAGGGGGAUAUUACAGGCUUAUUGGUAA
Molecule: ribosomal RNA, 768 nt
Filed under: Triticum aestivum (bread wheat)
Lineage: Eukaryota; Viridiplantae; Streptophyta; Magnoliopsida; Poales; Poaceae
Description: partial small subunit ribosomal RNA
Source: RNAcentral